Molecule: non-coding RNA, 409 nt
Organism: Chelonoidis abingdonii (Abingdon island giant tortoise)
Lineage: Eukaryota; Metazoa; Chordata; Testudines; Testudinidae
Source: the annotation of a RefSeq genome assembly
CUUUAUUCAAUGGAAAUGAUCACUCUGGCUUCUCUUUGCUGCAGGUGCUAUGUGGAGGGCAUUGGGUGUCUUCCUUGGCUUCCAGCUGCUGGCAGGUCUUUGCAGUGGGGUGAUGGUGACUCAGAAGGAGAAGUUUAUAGCCAUCCAGAAUGGCAACGAGGCAAGAAUCCCAUGUGAACAUGAUGACAAAUCUUACAUUACUGUCCUGUGGUAUCAGCAGAAGGCUGCAGAAAGGCAGCUGCAGUUAGUAGCCACCUCCACAGGUGUGAAUUCAUCAGAAAUAGAAAAAGAGUUACAAACCAGAUACAGUGUGGUACGGCCAGCAAUUCUAAACACCUCCCUGACAAUCAACCCGGGGAUGGUUGAAGACACUGCAGUGUAUUUCUGUGCAGCUAGCAAAGCACAGUGA